ACGAACGCUGGCGGCGUGCUUAACACAUGCAAGUCGAACGGAAAGGCCCUGCUUUUGUGGGGUGCUCGAGUGGCGAACGGGUGAGUAACACGUGAGUAACCUGCCCUUGACUUUGGGAUAACUUCAGGAAACUGGGGCUAAUACCGGAUAGGAGCUCCUGCUGCAUGGUGGGGGUUGGAAAGUUUCGGCGGUUGGGGAUGGACUCGCGGCUUAUCAGCUUGGUGGUGGGGUGGUGGCUUACCAAGGCUUUGACGGGUAGCCGGCCUGAGAGGGGGACCGGGCACAGUUGGGAAGGGGAGCGGCCCGAGGCGCCUCGGGGGGGAGGGGGGGGGAAAUGUGGGAGAAGGGGCGGGGGCGUGAUGCAGCACCGCGGGGGGGGGGAGGCGGGCAUUGGGGUUGAAACACGUUGUCCCUUGUGAGGAAGGGGGGGAGGGGGAAUGGGGAAAAAAACACCGGGAAAUCUGGG
RNAcentral lists this ribosomal RNA (466 nucleotides) under uncultured bacterium. RNAcentral describes it as "partial 16S ribosomal RNA". The stretch from base 14 to 371 matches the Rfam family "Bacterial small subunit ribosomal RNA", at positions 42 to 397 of the family's 1533-position model. The record is from RNAcentral.